This 126-nucleotide small nucleolar RNA is filed under the name Aotus nancymaae (Ma's night monkey). RNAcentral describes it as "Small nucleolar RNA SNORA11 (ENSANAG00000003934.1)". It matches the Rfam family "Small nucleolar RNA SNORA11". From Rfam's summary of the family: U107 (SNORA11) is a member of the H/ACA class of snoRNAs that guide the sites of modification of uridines to pseudouridines. This snoRNA was identified by RT-PCR from blood cells and its expression confirmed by Northern blot analysis. There is no predicted target for this guide snRNA. Lineage: Eukaryota; Metazoa; Chordata; Mammalia; Primates; Aotidae. The record is from Rfam by way of RNAcentral.
UAGGUGAAAAUACAGGGGGCCUGAAGAAUGGCUCCUCUGUUUGUAACACACCCAGCAGGAAUCUGGAGUCAUUGUGAUGACAGGCAUGAAGCUUGUGGCCUCCCUACAAACAAAUGCUGUACAUGU